GCAUAUUUAAUUUCUUGUAUGGGUGAAAAAGCUCAUGUACAUGGAUAUUUGAUUUCGUGAAUUAUACGAUCAAUUAAAUUUGUGGUUUUCAUAUACCCAUGAAAUUUAUGAAAUAUAGUAUCAAAUGAACAUUAAUACAGCUACAGUAUAAUGUAGUCUAGACUAGUACCAUAUUUGUUAAUUUUAAUAUCUAAGCUACCGCGCAUUGGGUCAAUACAUAUAAGAAGAUGUCAUUACAAACCAGUAACUUAAUUUUCAUGGCCUUUUGAAUUCACUAGAUAAGAAAUACAUGAGUUUAAGAAAAAACAGGCCUUCUUUUUACCUGAGACCACACCUGUACUGAGGUAAUUACAUAGCUUCGUGUAUGCUAUGUCUUUAAUUUUGACAUAUAAUAUUUAAAUUUAUUCGAAAUAAAUAUUUUUUUAUAGAUUAAUGCAACUUUGGAACUCUUCCUUUUUUAAAAGGUUAGCAAGAUUUGUUAUAUGGAAGUUACAUUAUAAUGAUUAUAUAAAUUCAUGGUUUAACAAAAAAAUAUCAUUUUAUAAAUAUAAAAAGUUGCUUUAUAUUCUAUUUUACUUGUAUAUAUAUUUUAUUACAAAAUAAAUUCACUGAAUUUAUAUUUACUUUACUUAACUAACACCCUAAAUCUAUACUUGGCUCAAGUUUAAAUUAUGAAAAAUUUUCAGUAACCAUAAAAUAUAUCUGAAAGAUUUAAAAAAUUCUGAAUAAGAUUGAAAUUAUUAGUCAUAAUCCAGUUUUGAGAUAAUUUGAUCAGCUUGUCUUAUUUUUAUUUUAAAGGUUUUAUAUAUUUGUAAGUGUUGACAAAUAUGGUGUUAUUAUAUGUUUAUUUUGAAGUUUUUGUUUAAAUGCUAAAAUGAAUACCUUAAAAAUUUUAUAUUGUUGUUAAUUUUCUUAGGGGAAAGAGCUGUUGUUAUAAACAGUUCCUAAAUUGAUAAAAUACAUAAGAUAACAACAAAUAGAUUAGGUUGGUAAAGACUUGGUCGAGUAUGGUUCAGACUAGGUUGAAUAUGGUUCAGACUAGGUCGAGUAUGGUUCAGACUAGGUCGAGUAUGGUUCAGGCUAGGUCGAGCAUGAUUCAGACGAAUUUAAAAUGCUUAAGUACAAGUUCAGACUAUUAAGUACGGUUCAGACUAAAGUCGAGUAUUAUCAAGUAAAUUUCAGACCAAUUCAGACUUGUCGAGUAAAAAUCAGUACCGUCGAGUACAGAUAUAGGUCAUUUCAGAGUUUUACUGGUUUGUAGUGUGUGGUAUGAGUGUCAAUGAUACAACUCUCCAUCCAAGUAACAAUUUACAAAAGUAAACCAUUUUAAGUCAAGGCACGGUCUUCAACACCGAGCAUUGGCUCACACCGAACAGCAAGCUAUAAAGGGCCCAAAAACAAUGUCCAGUGUAAAACCAUUCAAACGGCAAAACCAACGGUCUAAUCUAUAUAUAAAUAAGAAGCGAGAAACACUUAUAAACCACAUCAACAAAAAAAAACUACCGAACAUCAGAUUCCUUAAUAAGGACAAGUGCAAACAAUUGCAGCGGGUUUAAACGUUUUAAUGAUACCAAACAUUCACCCUUAUCUGAAACAAUAGUUCAACUCAACACAUCACAACAUAGAAAAACACACUAUAAAAUAUCAAUUGAAAUAGCAUUACUCAAUCAAAAGACUUAUUAAGACAAAUGGACAAUAGAUUCGAUCUCUGAUACAAUGUAAAAACAAAAGAAAUAAAAUAAGGGAUGAUAGUUAAAGUAACGGCUGUGAAAUGUGAAACAAAUUCAGAAAAAAAAGCUUGCACAAAAAUCUGUCAUUUGCAAGUUGUUACGCAUACAUGCAUAGACCAAACGGAGAGGGGAAAUAUUUUUACAAAAUAAAUAGUUUUGAUGUUCAUAGUACGAAGAAGAGAACAUUUCGUGUUAUACCAAACACUUAUAAAAGCUUGUAUAUAGACCAGAUUGAGUAAACAUUAAAUAACAAAAAAGCAUUACAAAAAGUAUCAAUAGGUCAAAUAAACAGAAUAGUCGCAUAUAUAAAUGUGUAAAUUCCAAUUUGUAAUAUUCUUGUUUUCGUGAUCAGCAUUCAAACAAUGUUUUUUCAAUCAAAUAUAUUAAUAUUUUCACAAUCUGCUAAACAUCAUCGUCAUCAGCAGCAUAAUUGAUACUAGCAUAACUUGUCAUGGCUGCAAGAACUAUAUUUUACGCUAUUGUAGGAAGUACAGUUUUACUGAAGCGUUCAAAGCAAGAUAAAAUGAAGUUCGCAUUAUUGAUGUUGGUAUUUCUUGUCAUAGCCACAGGUAUUACGUAAUGAGUAGCUCACUGUCAGGUGCAUUGCUUUCAACAGUAUCGUGAUCAAUAAAGAAUCAUAAUUACUAGAUUAUUACAAGCGUUUAAAUGAAACUCUACUCGUUUCACUUGCACAAUAAUUAUCAAUAUAUUACAACAAAUAUACGCUUUAAUUCUUCUGUUAACUUUUAAUGUAUGUAUGUUUCUAUGGUCAUAGGUAAAAAAUUCAACAAGCGUUUCUGACAUAUUAUUUAUAAAGUACGUUAAUAAUGAGAGGUAUAAAAAAUUCCAUUUAUAAAUCAUUUGGAAUAAAAGUCAAACAACAUGGCUUAAUUCAAAGUAACGAAACAAUUCAAUAUAUGUUAAACCAUCAUUAGGUAAGAUGCUACAUUAGUCCAAAUUUGCAUUAUCAAACAACUGGCCACUUUGAAUCCUUAUGAUAACUACCGGCAAUUACCCAAGGGGUAUAAAAACCAAUGAUAUGAUUUUUACAACACUUGCUUUGAAACAUUUUUCAAUAUGUGUAUUAGUCAACUCAAUUUUGAAAGACAAGAAAUAUAAAACAUUAGAGGCCAAUAGGCUAUAGACCACAUUUAAGUGAACAAAACAUAUGAAAACGGGCAAUCAAUGAACUUCCAAAAAUGUCUAUGAAAUUUGGCAAGAGAACGAUCAGCGUUGGGUACAGAAAAUAUUACAUUUAACUGCAUUUAACAUUUAACGUCACACACAGCUAGUACACUUUUAGCAUAGAAAUCUAAAACAAAACGUACUUUUUGACGAAUGACACACGUAAUGAAAAGAAAAGGAGCAUGCCAAACAGAGUAGCUUAUACUUUAAUAAUCAUCAUGCACAACAUAUGUUUCAUUACUGGUUUGGUAAACUUCAACACUUUAAUUCUUGUUUGGAACGUAAACCUCCAGAUGUCCUAAAAUAUGUAUUGUUUUUAUGAUUAGUAAAUAGUGUGAUUUAUAGAUCUGUUUAACUUUUACAAGAUGGAGCAAGUUAAUGAAUGAUUGGUUUCCUAACUGAGGGUAUAUGUAAUAACUAUGAACUCUCAACAUAACAUUUCUUCAAGAGCAUUUAAACUAUGAUACUUCCGGAAAAAUGAAAUUAGAUUUAUUCAAAGCUGAGCACUUAACAGCUUUCUUUUUUAUACACAUAUUUAUAUUUAUUUUUAUUUCAUAUACAUUUCAAUACUAACUAUAUUUAAAGAUCUAAUAUUAACUUAUUCCUAGAUGAAGAAUAAGUAGAACAAGUAAUCAGACGUUAACAUGAUAUUCUAUAUAUAUAUAUAUAUAUAUAUAUAUAUAUAUAUAUAUAUAUAUAUAUAUAUAUAUAAUAUAUAUAUAUAUAUAUAUAUAUAUAUAUUAUAUAUGUGAUGUGUGUGUGUGUGUGUGUGUGUGUGUGGUAACAUGACAAAAUCAGCUUUAAAAAAAAUGUCGCAAUAUAAACUUUAUUUGCUACAGUUCAACAUUACUUUUUCGUAAAUCGAGCUCCAAAAUAUUUUGCAGUUAUAUCUUAAAAAUACGAAAGCUUACAGAUCGACCAAUAUAUUUCAAUUUCAAUGCAAUUCGAUUUUUCACGGACAUACAUUGUAUAUGAUUCACAUAAUCUUUGUAGUGUCGAUUGACACGGACCUUCGUUAAUAACAAAUAAGUGUUAUGUUACUUAUGUUCUCAAAACUUAACUGUUCGAAAUCAAAUGAAAAAACACAACAAUUCACUGAAAAGAAAACUAUUUGUCUGUUGUUUUAGAAGAAUUCUAAUGGUUAUAUUUUUCUUAUUUAGAUAACGUGUCUUCCCAAACUUGUCGUGACUGCAGACAUUGUGAUUUCACAACAAGACAAUAUGUUUGUUCAAGCUGUGGUGUGACUUACUAUAAUGAAUGUUUGAUGCAUUGCUAGUAAGUAUGACCUUCUAAAAAAGGAUCUAAAUGCAAGCAGAUCAUUAUUUUAUUGAUAUAUUUUUUCCCUUAAACCGCUAUUGACGGUUUAAACAAAACAUUUAAUCAUACACUUAUGAAUAUUAAACAAUGAAUUCGACAUGAGAACUAUUCAAUGACACUUCUUUUUAAAUUUCUCAGUAAUAAUGUUUAACAAUUGUCAUUCACCAAAAGCACAUUGAUAUUCUUCUUCAAUGAUGCUAGAUACCAAAAUAGUAAUUAAAGGAUAAACGUUUAGUCAAACACAGAGGAAGAAUAAGAGCUCUCUAUUAGAAAUAUAUUACAUAAUUCAAUUACUGCAAUCGAAUUGAAGCGCAAUUGAACAAAUCAUUAUUUUUUAUUUAACACAUAAAGCCAAAAUGUUCGGAAUCAAAACCUAAUACAUACUUGAAGGGCUGAUAUGACUGUAUUUGAAUCAAAGUAGAGCAGGUAAACUCAUCAUAGAAAUUAUCGUUUCGUAUUCAAAAGAUUUAGCAGCAACGCUCGAAUAAUAAAGUUUCAGAAGGUCUACAUACAAACUGACGUGCAGUUAAAUUAAUGCAUGUUCUAUUCCAACUGCAAUAUUACGAGUAAUUAAGGGCUGAUUUAAUUUGUAUCAUAAAAUUAUUAAAACAAGAAAUCUAGAAUCUACGAAAAUACUUUAUUUGCUCAAUCACAAUAAGUAUACUAAAACAGUAUGCUCUUCUCACAAUAGUUCAUAACAGGAGUCGAAGUAAUAUUUUUUUACAUUUUAUUUCAGUGGUCAAAAUUAUGGUUGCAGGGGUGUAUGUCCAUGUGGCGGUACACCUUAACAUGUAUGAUACACAGGUUAGAACAAAUGUUACAGAGUUAAAUUUUCAGAAUUGUUGUAAAGGAUAAAUAUAUGGAAUAAAUGACCUAUUUCAGAUGUCGAACCGUCCAAACCGGAAAUCAAAAUUAUAUUUACAGAUGUAUACUUUAAACAAACUAUUUUGUUUUGUCAAUAUUAAAUAACAUCAGAACUGGGUAGACAAAUUAAAAUAAAAAUGUGAAGAUGUGGUAUGAUUUCCAAUGAGAAAACUAUUCACUUUAGUUAAAAUAAACCAGAUGUAAGCAAAUAAAGGCAACCCUCAACAAUUAAUAACACCCAUACACAAAAUCUGAGACUACUCAUAAUUACUGAUAGCUUUUUUUUCAAAGCCACUUAACGCUUAUAAAGAAAUCAUGUGUCUAAGAAUAAUACAUCAAUAAUGACACGAACCGGAAAUAUUAUGGAUUUAGAGACGUCGUUUACGAUCAGAGAAAAUAUGACCAUGUACAAUGCCAAAAUUUUGGUAUCACUGGAUUGUAAUACCGUGCAUGUGCAUUUGGAGAAUUUUAUUUGAUAUAUAUUGUUAAUGAUUUAACGUAAACGACUGUCAAAAUAAAAUAGAUUAUUCACGAGAAGGUACAAUGUUUUCUUGAUAUUUAUAUUUAUAUUUCACAAUUCUUUUUCAGCACCAAGUGAGACUGAAAAUAUAAUAAAAUGAAUUAAAAUGUAAAAAA
This 5732-nucleotide long non-coding RNA is filed under the name Mytilus galloprovincialis (Mediterranean mussel). Lineage: Eukaryota; Metazoa; Mollusca; Bivalvia; Mytilida; Mytilidae. The record is from RNAcentral.